AUUGAACGCUGGCGGCAUGCUUUACACAUGCAAGUCGAACGGUAACAGGCCUUCGGGUGCUGACGAGUGGCGAACGGGUGAGUAAUGCAUCGGAACGUACCCAGAGGUGGGGAUAACGCAGCGAAAGCUGUGCUAAUACCGCAUGUGAUCUGAGGAUGAAAGCGGGGGACCGAGCAGCAAUGUUUGGCCUCGCGCCUUUGGAGCGGCCGAUGUCGGAUUAGCUAGUUGGUGGGGUAAAGGCCUACCAAGGCGACGAUCCGUAGCUGGUCUGAGAGGACGACCAGCCACACUGGGACUGAGCCACGGCCCAGACUCCUACGGGAGGCAGCAGUGGGGAAUUGUGGACAAUGGGCGCAAGCCUGAUCCAGCAAUGCCGCGUGCGGGAAGAAGGCCUUCGGGUUGUAAACCGCUUUUGGCAGGAACGAAACGGUGUCCGCUAAUACCGGGCGCUAAUGACGGUACCUGCAGAAUAAGCACCGGCUAACUACGUG
This 491-nucleotide ribosomal RNA is filed under the name uncultured bacterium. Its description in RNAcentral is "partial 16S ribosomal RNA". It matches the Rfam family "Bacterial small subunit ribosomal RNA", at positions 29 to 507 of the family's 1533-position model. The record is from RNAcentral.